Molecule: ribosomal RNA, 465 nt
Filed under: Vreelandella stevensii
Lineage: Bacteria; Pseudomonadati; Pseudomonadota; Gammaproteobacteria; Oceanospirillales; Halomonadaceae
Description: partial 16S ribosomal RNA
Rfam family: Bacterial small subunit ribosomal RNA
Source: RNAcentral
CCGAUGUGGGGAUGCAGGGGGGAAUAGGGGACAAUGGGCGAAAGCCUGAUCCAGCCAGGCCGCGUGUGUGAAGAAGGCCUUCGGGUUGUAAAGCACUUUCAGUGGGGAAGAAAGCCUUGGGGCUAAUACCCUCGAGGAAGGACAUCACCCACAGAAGAAGCACCGGCUAACUCCGUGCCAGCAGCCGCGGUAAUACGGAGGGUGCGAGCGUUAAUCGGAAUUACUGGGCGUAAAGCGCGCGUAGGCGGUCUGAUAAGCCGGUUGUGAAAGCCCCGGGCUCAACCUGGGAACGGCAUCCGGAACUGUCAGGCUAGAGUGUAGGAGAGGAAGGUAGAAUUCCGGGUGUAGGGGGGAAAUGCGUAGAGAUCGGGAGGAAUACCGGUGGCGAGGGCGGCCUUCUGGACUGACACUGACGCUGAGGUGCGAAAGCGUGGGUAGAAAACAGGAUUAGAUACCCGAGUAGUC